GUCUUAGCCCAGAGAACCAGAUUUGAGCUAUUCCCUUUCUCUAUCUAGGGUUUUGGAGUUGAGAGAAGUAGAAAUAGUGAUUUAAGCUUUAUUUUCCUCUUUUCUCUUGUUGCUUGCUGGUUUGGUGAGUUCGAGCAGCUGUGGAAGAGUGAAAAGGAGUCUUGGGGAGAGGUAUUUCGUGACCUUAGCUCUAUAGGAAGCUAAGUUGAAGUUUUAUGAGGUAAGCUAAUCAUUUCUCUCUCUAGUUUGAUGCUAGUAGGGAAGUUGAUGUUGGUUCUUUGUUCUUUGCUGCUAGCUGAAUUGGAGAAGAGUUUUAGCAGCUAUAAAGAUGUGUUUGCUGUACCCUAACUCAGUGAGAGCUGAGUUGAAGCCUUGUGAGGAGGUUUUGAGGAUAGUUGUAGCAACUGUAGCAGAGAGGUUUAGCUGUGGUUCUUCAAUUCUAAUCCCAGGAAAAGCUGAAUUAAAGCUUUGGGAAGGUUCACAGCAGGAUAUUGGAUUCCUUUGGCUGGGAUUCAUGAACUUUGGAAGGUUGGUUUGAUGUGUUCCAACCUGAAUAGAAAGGGAAUUCAAGUUUGGUUACUCCUAGGAUGCUUUGGAGGCUGCGGAUCACUUUGAAUUGAGUUUUGGUGAUUCUUAAAGGCCAGUUUUGAAGUGCUUCAACCUGAUUUAAAAGAAAGUUCAAGUGUGGAUUCUAAACUAGGGCACUUGGAAGCUAGGGAACAUCUCCAGUUGCGGGAUUGCCGAAAGUCGGCAGUGAAUUGAGCUUUCCACAGCGGGAAAAGUUAGAGUUCUCGGCGAGGGGUCAGCGGCUAGCUAGAGCCUUCUCGAUGUUAAAUAGAUGAACCUCUACCAAUUUAUAUAGUUUAGUUCAGUGUUGUAUACUGGGUUUAUGUAAUUGUACUUGUUCUUAUCAGUGGUAAUAAGGUUAUGUGUUGUAUAAGUUUAUGAAUUUUUUAAAGUUUU
Molecule: long non-coding RNA, 963 nt
Organism: Ananas comosus (pineapple)
Lineage: Eukaryota; Viridiplantae; Streptophyta; Magnoliopsida; Poales; Bromeliaceae
Exons: 6
Source: RefSeq, a predicted model, not a curated record